This 439-nucleotide ribosomal RNA is filed under the name uncultured Devosia sp. RNAcentral describes it as "bacterial SSU rRNA". It matches the Rfam family "Bacterial small subunit ribosomal RNA", at positions 338 to 794 of the family's 1533-position model. Lineage: Bacteria; Pseudomonadati; Pseudomonadota; Alphaproteobacteria; Hyphomicrobiales; Devosiaceae. The record is from RNAcentral.
CCUACGGGGGGCAGCAGUGGGGAAUAUUGGACAAUGGGCGCAAGCCUGAUCCAGCCAUGCCGCGUGAGUGAUGAAGGCCUUAGGGUUGUAAAGCUCUUUCAGUAGGGAAGAUAAUGACGGUACCUACAGAAGAAGCCCCGGCUAACUUCGUGCCAGCAGCCGCGGUAAUACGAAGGGGGCUAGCGUUGUUCGGAUUUACUGGGCGUAAAGCGCACGUAGGCGGAUUGUUAAGUCAGAGGUGAAAUCCCGGAGCUCAACUCCGGAACUGCCUUUGAUACUGGCAAUCUAGAGUCCGGAAGAGGUGAGUGGAACUCCUAGUGUAGAGGUGGAAUUCGUAGAUAUUAGGAAGAACACCAGUGGCGAAGGCGGCUCACUGGUCCGGUACUGACGCUGAGGUGCGAAAGCGUGGGGAGCAAACAGGAUUAGAUACCCCAGUAGU